GAAGCAAUUAAAAUAAAUUAGAUCUCACAGUAAUUGUUGAACCAAGUCUUCAGUUGUCCCCUUGACUAGAAUUAAGAGCUUAGUCCUCCAUUAAUGGAGAACAACCAUGCGAAAGAGCUAAGAAAAGAAAACUAAAAACUAAACUAAAAGCCUAAAACUCGUGUGUUUCCAACCUCUCGUACGUUUCUCCCUUUUUAAAGCCAAAAGGAAGUCUAAUGCUAUCUCUAGUGGUCCCCACACCAAAUUCAAAGUCCAAUUCCAUUUCACAAGCUUUGUACGUUUCUUUUCCUAGAGUCCAAAUGACUCAUGCUUCUUAUCCGUGGUCCCCGCACAUGUGGACAAAUCCUCCAAAGUACUUGUUGUUCCAAGUCUCUCUACGUUGCUUUUUUUGAAAAGCCAAAUGACUAAAUGCCUUGCACUAGCUUGUGGUCCCCACCAAUUCAAGGACCCAAAGGUUGAAGCCUUAGAAGUCUGCAUUUUUCCAUACAAGUCCCUCCUUUUUGGUAAUUUUCUGCUUCAAUCCCUGAAAUUGGGUCCAAUACCAAAUAUAAGUAAAUAUUAAUAAUUAAAACAAUAUUUGGCAAGGAUAAAAGGGGAAAUUAACAAUAAAAUUGUUAACAAUUAACACCCUAUCAAUUCCCCCCACACCUAAAUCCUGCUUGUCCUCAAGCAUAAGAACAACAAUUGAACACCAAAAUUUGACUAUGGCUAUUGCUCUAACUAUCAUAUUGCCAAGAUACCCAGAAAAACAUAUAUCAAGUUUCACAAGUUAAGAUCAAGAAAAAAUCACCCCGGUUAGCUUCCCAACCACCAACUCCUCCAAUUUAAAGCAAACUAAUCUAAGAAAAAGGAAUGGUUGCUCACAUUUAUCAGCAAAUGGUCCAACUAUUAACCAAAAUCUCGACAUUAAAAUCACAAACUGGCAAGCUGACUUAUUCACAUACUAACACAAUCUUUAUUUUAUUAUUUUUUCUUUUUGUUUUGUUUGUUUCUUUUUCUCUUUUUUUUUUUUUUUUGAGUAACAAAAGACUUAGUCUAUAGCCCUUAGAGCCUUUUGACGCGAACUCCAACAUUUGAUAAAUGGAGGAGCCCGGUUACUCAGCUCCAAUCGCUACGGGACCACACACUCAUAGCAAUUACUACCUUUUGACGCGAGAAUCGACACUUUAGGUGAAGAUCCCCGGUUACUCAGUAGUAACCACUAGCGGAGUACAGUCAACUCUUAUUUACAACCAUAUAGCAUAAUAACUAAAAAUAACACCAAAAAUAACAGCAGCCAGCCUCAAAUUUCCAAACAUGAAGAACUAAAAUUAAUAAUUGGACCAAUUCACAUGAAAAAUGCCAACAAUCAUUCCCUAUGCCUAGAAAAGUUAACCAAAAAUUGGAAAAGUCAAGCAAUUACCGAUAUUCACCAGAGAGAUAUUCAUGAACUCAACCACAUCAACUUGAUACCUUUUUAUUAAUAAACUUGGCAAUAGCAUAUUAGAGGCAACAAUCCAGCAUCAAAACUUGGUAUUCAUUUAAGGACUGACCACUAGAAAGAAAAAGAAAAUAAAAUAAAUGAAAGAUAGGCAAAAACUAACUAAAAAUAAAGGAAAAACCCUAGAAACUAAAAACAAAAAUACUAGCACCCCAACUGAUCUCCCCCCACACCUAAAUGACACAUUGCCCUCAAUGUGAUAAAUAAAUAGUAAUAGCAAGGCGAAGGGCAACGGAACUUCCCUGAAGUCGUCAAAAUAGGGACGGAUCGGGCGGGAACUGAGGAGCAAGACCUGCAUGGUACAUAAACACUUCAACAAUAAUGUGGGUCGAGGGUCCGAGACCUAGAAGAAGAUUUGGGUCUCACCAUGGUCACUAACAGACAAAUCAAUCAACAAGAGAUAGAAGCUCCAACAAGUAGAGGGGUCAGCAAUUGCAAAUCAAUAACAACUACAGCCACCAGUAAGGGCAAUAAGCAAGGCAAUAUCCACCAAUGCGUCUCACUUAACAAUCCGACCAACAACAGAAAUUGGUGUUCCAGCAAAUGUAUUAAACUAGUAACGCAGAAGUCGUAACUAAGGGUAGGCAAUAAUCAAGUGAGUAAGCAAUAUUUCCCGCAAUCGGACAAUUAAAUGCAAAAUGUGUCCACCCAAGUACUCGACAAAUGUCCCACCGGUCAAUUUCAGAAUCAAUGCAGUCCAAAGUGCAACAUGUGCUCCCAAGAACUUAGUGAUUGAAAACAAAAAAAAACACAAUACCUCCAAACAAGGCAAAUAGAGGCAACCGACUUCAACAAUUAAAUUUACACGGCACAUUCAUAUCCCAAUGCAGCAAACAACUGCAAAAAGAAAGUACCCACAGUACCAGAACACAGCUCCCAAUAAUGUAUCAAAACAGCAGGUCGAACCAACUAGGGGCUGUGCUAGUGUCUUAAUAAAUCAACAACUCUCAGCAAAUAGACACAAUUCUACCCAAAAUCGCGACAACUAUCGCCAAUUGGACAGUUGAUCGCACACUCAAUCCAACCAAAAGUUCUAGCAACAGCCGAUCAGAAUUGAAGCAAUAACUUAAUCACAAGAACUUGAAUUUCAAACAAGCAAGCAUCUCCAAAUAUAAGCAACAACUAUAGUCAAAAGACCCCACCAGUACCACUGGUGGGCACACAAGGAAGAAUUAAAUCAAAUAUGAUCGAUCGAUAGCAGGAGCACCCAAAUUCAAUCAACAACAAGUAAUUCAGGCAAACAAAAGCAAAAGAGAAACACAAAAAGGGGCCAGAUAUCAAUCAAACAAAAGCCAUUGCCCGUGAAUAAAGAAAACACUAAAAAGCAACAGGUACUGGUAAACCACAGAGGGAAGAAGGGACCGGACACCGUUGUUGGCAGAGAGACCGAGCGCCUGGGGCAGCACGGCCGCGUUUAGGGCAGGCCGUGGGAGGAAGGAAGAGUCGCGCGAUGGAGCAAGAGGCUGCUGCAGAGGUGGACGAGCGGCGAGAGGGCUAGCGGUGGAGCUGGUGGUGAGCGCAAGUGGGUAGCCGCUAGUGGAUAGCGGCCGGUCAGCAGCUGCCGCGGGCUGCAGGUGGCGAUGGAGCUGCUGGAGUGGAGACGAGCUGGGGUGGCGUGUGAAGGAGAGCUGGUGGUCGUCCGUGAGGUGGAGCUUGGAGGCGGCGGCGAUGGCAGUUGGGCAACGGGAAACUGGCGGCGCGAGGUGGCCUGGCUGGUGGAGGCUGAUGGUAUCCUUGAGGCUGAUCGUGCGGCACAGGAGGAGCAGCGGCGGCAAAGGAACUCAGCACGCUGUGGGUGGACGGCCGUGGGCAGGGGAGCAGCGGCGCCGCGGCGGUUGGUCGAGAGAGUGCGAGAUGGUGGAGAGGAGCUGGUGGCCAGUGGAGGUCCAUGGUGGAGGGAAAAGCGGACAGCAUUGAGGCAGCUUGUGGCGCUCGAGGAGCUGGCGGAAGCGAGGGAAGCACGCGACUGCUUGGUGGAGUAAGGAUGCCCGUGGGGCGCUGGGGAAGAUGGACGGCAGCCGAGCGCAAGGGGGCAGCUGCUGGAGUGAGGCGUGGCAGCUUGGGCUGGGGUGGAGAGAGAGAGAAUGGAGGCGGCGGCAAUGGAGGAAACAAAAGCUACGGGAAGCAGGGCAGCGGGAAGAAGGAAGAAAUAAAAGAAAACGGAAGCAGGGCAGCGGGGAAGAAAGAAAGAAAGAAAGAAAGAAAGAAGAAGAAAGAAAGAAAAAGAAGAAAAGAAAAGAGAAAAAAAAAUAGUUUUUUUUGGGGAAUUUUUUUUUUUUUUUCAAUUUUUUUUUCGAAUUUAAAUUUUCAAAAUUUGAAUUUUUGAAGAAAAAGAAAAAGAAGAAGAAAAAAAAAUGUUUUUAUUCUUUUUAUUCUUUUUUUUUUCCAAUAUGCAUUUUAAAAAAAAAAAAUUUUUUUUAAUUCAUUUUUGGGUCGUCAAACACCGCGUGGGCACGCCAAGAUUAGAGAGCAUCCACUGACUUCGAGAGUUACCUUACGCACUUUAACGCGUGCCCUCCUCGCGUGGGCACGCCAAGAUUACCUAUCCUGAUCAGAGUUAGAAAACAUCAAGAGUGACUAGUACCACGUGAGAAACGACAUAAUUAAAUAAUUAAGCUCUAAAACAAUAAAAUUAACAAUUGGGUUGCCUCCCAAAAAGCGCCUUUCUUUAAUGUCUUUGGCUAGACAUUAUCAUAUUUUGCUCAUGGAGGAUAAAAUCUUGUGGCUCGUUUCACUGCUUCAUCUUCAAUGUGAUCCUGGUAACCCUCAUAGAUGGAGUAAUCCUUGAGCACACGACGGUCUUCCAUGGACUAGUUGAUGGCGCCAAAUAAUCAAGCAUUGAUCGCAAUUCUUCAUCCACUCUUCCAUCAAGAGCAUUCAACGGUUCAAGAUACUUGACCAUAGCUACUCUUAACUCAUUCCUGCCAUGAGACUCAAGAACUUCCGGUAUAACAAAAUCAAUCUCAUCAACAGAAAUCAUAGAGUCAGAGUUAAGAAAAUGCGGGUUAGGGAAUGGAAGUGGUGUCACCACAUUUGAUGAUUCUUCACUGGAUUCUUUCACUUGAAUGGGUUGCGGUUGGGGUUCCAUUUCUUCAUUUUCGGCUUCUUUUUCAACUGCAUCUGUACAUCUCUCUUCUUGAAAAUCUUGCAGCUCCUCAUCACCAGUCAGGCAAAUUGCACUCUCAUUUUCUUCAAAAUCAACAAUGGUUUUCGAGGGCAAUUCUUCAAAUUGAGAAGCCAAUCGAUUUAUUCUGGAUGUCAAUAGACACAUUUGAUCUUCCAGAUUACUCAUUGCCUCCUUCAUCAUCUCAUUUCUCCUUUGUGUCUCCUGUUGGAAUUGAUAUGUAUUAAUAGCUAUUGAUUCAACUAUUUCUUCAAGAGACAUACCUGACAUAGAUGAUGAUUCUUGAGACUUCAUACUGCUGAAAAUUCAUUGGUCCUGUUGUAUAAUUAUAACUGGAGUUAUCCCACCAUCCUUGAUCAUACCCGUUUGGUUUAGGGUUAUACCACGUUUGAGACCAGGGUGAAAAAUCUCCAUAAUUAUUGAGGGGGACACUCAGAUUAUCUUGAUAUUCGGGGCACAUACCAGUUGAAUGAUCCCUGGCAUAACAAAUUUUACAGGUUGCAGCAGCCAUUCUUUCUCUAAUAGAGUUUAGUGCCUCUGAAUAUGCAAACUUAGCAAAAAAACUAGUCUCAUCGUCUUCCCCGGAAACAAAAUCCAGACUAUCACCAAAAUAUGGAGUGUUAGAAGCCAUAAACUAUAUAAUAAAAAAAAAUAAGAGAUAAAUAAAAAAAAAAUAAAAUAAAAUAAAAACAAGAUGAACUCAAAAAGAAAUAAAUUAAUCUGACACCAGUCCCCGGCAACGGCGCCAAAAAUUGACAGGUGCCGAACCUGUACAAUAAUAAAUACCUACUCGAGAAAAAUACAGAUUUUGUAUAUAGCAGUGAGUAGGGUCGAAUCCACAGGGACUGGGGAUAAUUCGUUUCUUCUAGAGUCCAAGGUAUGGGGGGUUUUGGAUUAAAUGCUAACUAAAGAAAUUAACUGCAGAAAAUAAUUGAUUAAGAGAAAUAAUUAAGGGAAAACUCUAGCCAAGGGUACACUUCAGAAAUGGUUCAGGCACUGAUCAUUGAUUCACAGAUAAUUCCAAAUUUAUUAAUAAAUUAGUUAUAGUUGCCCUGCACGCGAUAAACAACCAACCUUUCCUUACUUUCUCGAUAGUUAAGGUACGACCGUUAAUUAUUUCUCUAACCCAAAAACAACCCUAGGUACGACCGUAGGGUUUAAUUUCUAGAUUGCAUUAAUAAUUAGAAAGACCCAAUCCUAACUAACAAACACGCUACGAGGGUUUGUUUAAGUUAGAUCGUAUGUUCCCCUGACAUAAACCCAAUUACGCCAGUUGCUACUGAGAUAAAGAUAACGAACAAUUAUGGAUUCAAUUAUCCCUAUUUAGCAAAAUAGCCUAUGUGAAUAAUUAAAUAUUGCGCAUCUAUUCAAUCACUCACACGAGCUAUAGCAAUUAAAAGCAGGAAACAUAUAAAUACCAAUAAAUUAAGGAAGCAAUUAAAAUAAAUUAGAUCUCACAGUAAUUGUUGAACCAAGUCUUCAGUUGUCCCCUUGACUAGAAUUAAGAGGUUAGUCCUCCAUUAAUGGAGAACAACCAUGCGAAAGAGCUAAGAAAAGAAAACUAAAAACUAAACUAAAAGCCUAAAACUCGUGUGUUUCCAACCUCUCGUACGUUUCUCCCUUUUUAAAGCCAAAAGGAAGUCUAAUGCUAUCUCUAGUGGUCCCCACACCAAAUUCAAAGUCCAAUUCCAUUUCACAAGCUUUGUACGUUUCUUUUCCUAGAGUCCAAAUGACUCAUGCUUCUUAUCCGUGGUCCCCGCACAUGUGGACAAAUCCUCCAAAGUACUUGUUGUUCCAAAUCUCUCUACGUUGCUUUCUUUGAAAAGUCCAAAUGACUAAAUGCCUUGCACUAGCUUGUGGUCCCCACCAAUUCAAGGACCCAAAGGUUGAAGCCCUUAGAAGUCUGCAUUUUUCCAUACAAGUCCCUCCUUUUUGGUAAUUUUCUGCUUCAAUCCCUGAAAUUGGGUCCAAUACCAAAUAUAAGUAAAUAUUAAUAAUUAAAACAAUAUUUGGCAAGGAUAAAAGGG
RNAcentral lists this long non-coding RNA (6631 nucleotides) under Coffea arabica (coffee). RNAcentral describes it as "long non-coding RNA (CARA_LNC008242)". The record is from RNAcentral. Lineage: Eukaryota; Viridiplantae; Streptophyta; Magnoliopsida; Gentianales; Rubiaceae.